AAAUCACUCAAAAAUAUAAACCUAUGGGCUCAAAUGGUUAUUUUGUUAUUGAUGGAAAAACAUUUUAUAUAAACAGUGUGCACUUAGAGGAAGAUACAAGUAAAUGUGUUAUACUGCCUAAUAGUUUUAAUGGUGGCAGUGGAAGUGGUGGCAGUGGAAGUGGUGGUAGUGGAAGUGGUGGCAGUGGAAGUGGUGGCAGUGGAAGUGGUGGUAGUGGAAGUGGUGGUAGUGGAAGUGGCGGUAGUGGUAGUGGAAGUGGUGGUAGUGGAAGUGGCGGUAGUGGUAGUGGUAAUGGUGAUAGUCAACAUGGAAAGCGUAUGUCAUCGAGGUGCAAAAGUGGCCCUUCUGUCCCUUUUAGUGUUGGUACCAUUACUACCAAUGACACAUACAAUCAUUCCACCGCUACUAACACAAACAUAAUUACCAGUACUGAUAUAAAUGCAGAAGAAACUAUUUCCAAGUACUUAAACAGAAAAAAUAUUAUGAAGAAAAAAAUAUUAUUAGACUAUAAUAGAUGUGGUAUUCCUUUAGUAGAAAUUGUUGUAAAUAAAGAUUAUAUGACGGAAGAUAAUUGUAUAAAUUUACUUAAAGUUAUAAAAAAUAAAGUAUGCCUAUUAGGUGUUUGUGUAGGUAAUAAAGAAAAUAUAAGGUCAGACAUAAACAUAUCUUUUGAAUAUAAAAAUAUAAAAUCAAAUCGAAUUGAAAUUAAAAAUGUAAACAGUUUUACAAAAAUAAAAAAUUGUAUUAAAAUAGAAAAGGAAAAUUUUAUAAACAGCAUUUUAAAAAAAAACAGUAAUAAUAAUAAUAGUGGUAAUAAUAAUGAUAAUUAUAAUAAAAACGUAUAUACGAAAAGUUACAUAGAUAACAAAAAUUACAUGUUACGAAAAAAAGAAGAAUAUACAUAUGUACACGAAAGUAAUAUUCCUGAAUAUAAAUUAAAAAAAAACAUUUUAAAUUUGUUAUAUUUUUAUGUUAAUCAUAAAAUUAAAAUAUAUGAUGAUAAAAUAAAAUAUAAAUGGUCAGAUCAGUAUUUUCAUGUUUUUUUUAGUGACCCUUUUUUAUAUAACUAUUUCAAUGAAUGCUUAUUAUAUGAACAAGAAAAAAAUGUUUCUAAUUUUAUAGUUAACAUAUUAUUAGAUGUUUUAAAGAAAAAAAAGUUAUUAUCAAAAAACAUUUUAAUUAAACCUAAAGACAUGUGUUAUCUUAUUAAAUGUUUAAAAAAAAACAACAUAGAUAAAACAUAUCUUAAAACGUAUUUGUAUAAACAUAUAGACAUCGGAUUUGAUAAUACAGAAAUACUUAAAAAUGUAAGUACCACAAGUUAUAAAAAAAUAAAACAAAUAGUAAAAAAAUUAAUUAAUAACAAUAUCAAAUAUACACAAAUGGAUAAUAAACAUAAUAAUGUUAUUCUUAAUGAACAAAAUUUUAAAAAUAGAAUUAUCGGAUUAUUAAAAAAUGAGGUCAAGCAACUGAAUAGCCAGUUAAAUAUUAAUUACCAGUUUGUGAGCGAUUUCAUUAUUUAUUAUGUUAGAAAAUUGAUUUGUGCACAAAGCGAAUGAUAAAUUAAGAAUCAGGUGUUACCUAUCGGGUGUCCUAUAUGUCCUAUGCAAUGACGAUUCUUUUUUCCUUUUUUUUUUUUUUAAUAAACAACAUCGACAUAUGAGAAAAUUAAAAAAA
Molecule: long non-coding RNA, 1677 nt
Organism: Piliocolobus tephrosceles (Ugandan red Colobus)
Lineage: Eukaryota; Metazoa; Chordata; Mammalia; Primates; Cercopithecidae
Source: Ensembl